GUCUACGGCCGUGCCACCAUGAACACACCCAAUCUCAUCUGAUUUUGGAAGCUAAGCAAGGUCGGGCCUGGUCAAUACUUGGAUGGGAGAAGGAGAGGAGCUGGAACUC
This 109-nucleotide ribosomal RNA is filed under the name Oryctolagus cuniculus (rabbit). Lineage: Eukaryota; Metazoa; Chordata; Mammalia; Lagomorpha; Leporidae. The record is from RNAcentral.